Molecule: ribosomal RNA, 440 nt
Filed under: uncultured Herbinix sp.
Lineage: Bacteria; Bacillati; Bacillota; Clostridia; Lachnospirales; Lachnospiraceae
Description: bacterial SSU rRNA
Rfam family: Bacterial small subunit ribosomal RNA
Source: RNAcentral
CCUACGGGGGGCAGCAGUGGGGAAUAUUGCACAAUGGGGGAAACCCUGAUGCAGCGACGCCGCGUGAGUGAAGAAGUAUUUCGGUAUGUAAAGCUCUAUCAGCAGGGAAGAAAAUGACGGUACCUGACUAAGAAGCCCCGGCUAACUACGUGCCAGCAGCCGCGGUAAUACGUAGGGGGCAAGCGUUAUCCGGAUUUACUGGGUGUAAAGGGAGCGUAGGUGGCAAAUCAAGUCAGAUGUGAAAGCCCGGGGCUCAACUCCGGGAUUGCAUUUGAAACUGGUAUGCUAGAGUGCAGGAGAGGUAAGUGGAAUUCCUAGUGUAGCGGUGAAAUGCGUAGAUAUUAGGAGGAACACCAGUGGCGAAGGCGGCUUACUGGACUGUAACUGACACUGAGGCUCGAAAGCGUGGGGAGCAAACAGGAUUAGAUACCCUUGUAGUC